Equus asinus (donkey) is the source of this 5831-nucleotide long non-coding RNA. NCBI's taxonomy places the organism in Eukaryota, Metazoa, Chordata, Mammalia, Perissodactyla, Equidae. The record is from Ensembl.
CUCCCCAAGCCCCCGGAAGUUGCUGCUGUUCCAGCAGCCUGGGGAUCGCGUCUCCUCGCCGUUUAAGGCUCGUCUUGGCUCUGCCGCUUGUCUUGUCGAUUUGUGACCUGACCGAAUUGUCGCACUGAACGCAUGAGUCGUAUGAAGGACGCCGGGGGACCCAGGAGCCCUAGAAAUGAUUUUGCUGAGGAAGACUGGCCCUGAGCUAACAUACGUGCCCAUCUUCCUCUGCUUUAUAUGUGGGAUGCCUACCACAGCAUGGUUUGCAAAACGGUGCCAUUUCCGCACCCAGGAUCCAAACCGGUGAACCCUGGGCCGCCAACGUGGAACGUGCGCACUUAACUGGUACGCCAUCGGGCCGGCCCUAUGUAAUUCUCUAAACAAUAAUUUUUAUGAAGUGUUCAAUACCUUUUUGCAAACCAUAAAACAUAAAUUUUCUCAAUUUUCUUCACAUAUUUCACCCUCCUUUCAUUUCUGAUAUUUGUAAAUUCUGUCUUCCUUUUUCCAGUUAUCGUGACUAGAUGUUUACCAGUUUUAUGUAACUAAUAUUUUCAAAGGAUCAGCUUUGGGUUUUGAAAACUAGGAGAGUGGGUUUCUUUUUAUAAAACUUUAAAUAUUUCACUCCACUCUCGCUUGCUUGGUUUCUGAAAAGAAGUCUGACUUAAGUCUAAUUUUUUUUCUCUGUAACGAAGGUGUUUUCUCCUCUGGCUGUUUUCAAUAUAUUCUGUCUUUGACUUUUCUCAAGUCUGAAUAUGAUAUACUCUGUGCAGUUUUGAUGUUUUCCAUGUUUCGUUCUCUGAGGAUUUUGGAUGUACAGUUUGCUAUCUAUGAUUAAUUUUAUGUUAAACUCAGUGAUUUUUACUUCACUUUUUUCUUCUGUUCCUUUUUGUAUGUCUUUUACUUCGGGUAUUGAAAUAGUCAUUGAUGAUUAAGUAGCUAGGAACUAAAGUUUUUUUCCUUUUUGCAAUUACUGAUUAUAGCUUUUAGCUGUUAACCCAACAACCAUUGUUAACUGGGCUGUUUAGGCAAUAUGCUAUCUGACUCCCACUACAUUCCUCUAGAGAACAUCUCCCUGGAGCCUGGGUCACCGUGGUAAUGGGUGUUUGAGCUGUUCUUCAGGAAUUAGAACCCCUUUGUUCACUUGAAGCCAGUUGAAACCACCAGCUCAUCAACUGGGCCUGUGCGGAUGUGCGAUAGGCAACCUUUUGACAUCAAGAGGCUAAAAACUCCACCUUCAGAUCAUGCCAAUGCCGCCAGUUCAUGAGCAUGCAUCCUGUGAAGAGGCAUAGAGUCUGACCAUGCUUCAUAGAUCACCUCUUACCUCACCUCUUCUCACCUCCAAUCACCUACCUCCACAUUUCAGACCACCUUUCUGCCAUCCCAUAAAUAUCCCUGAGUCCCUAUUUUUGGGGAAGUAGAUUUGAGACUCAUGCUCUCACUUCCUCACGUGGCUGCCUUGUGAUUAAACCCUCUCUCUGCGGCAAUCUCGUCAUCUUGGUGAUUGGCUUUCCGGGUGGCAGGCAAAAACAAACCUGAUGUGGUAACAGUUUUCCCAUUUGUGUAUUUUAAACCUUCUGUCAUUGCUUUAUGUUUUAUUUGGGGGGGGGGUGGUUUCAGCUUUAUUGAGAUAUAAUUCACAUACCAUAAAAUUUUCCCUUUUUAUACAAUUGAAUGUUACUUAGUAUAUUCAGAGUUGUGCGACCAUCACCACUAUAUAAUUUCAGAACAUUUUCAUCACCCCAAAAAGAAACUGUGUACCCCUUAGCAAGCACUCCCCAUUCUUUACCCUCGACCCCCUGCCAGCCCCUGGAAACCACUAAUCUACUUUCUAUUUCUAUGGAUUUGUCUAUUCUGGACAUUUCGUAUGAUUGGAAUCCAGAAACAUGUGGUCUUUUGUGACUGGCUUCUUUCACUUGUUGGUUCACAAACUGGGCCCACACACGGAGGGCAAAGAGAGAAGGAAGAAAGAGAGGCAGACACUCGAUGGAUGGGGGCAGGUUUAAUCAGUGAGGGAACUUAUGACACUUGCCUUGGGCAGCUACAAGAUGACCUCCGCACCGCCCAGCAGAAUCUUAAAAGUUUAUAUAGAAGCCUUAGUGGGGUUCAGUCAUAUAGACCAUCCAGAUGGUCUCGACAACUCAUUACUCUCUCAAGGCUAUGUCCUUGAAAACAGCUCCCACUGUGGGAAUGGUGGGGAGUGUGCAUUCCAAGGACAGGGGAGGAGUGAGAACCUUUCAAAUGCCCAGUUCUUGGGUCGAGUGGCGGUCACGUCCUCUUGAUUACCUCCUCCAACAUCACUUAGCAUGUUUUCAAGGUUCAUCCAGGUUGGAGCAUGUAUCAGGAAUUCAUUCCUUUUUAUGGCUGAAUAAUCACUCAUUAUGUGGAUACACCACGUUGUCUUUAUCCAUUCACCAGCUGAUGGACAUUUGUUUAUUUCCAUCUUUUGUCUAUUAUGAAUAAUGUUGACAUAAGCAGUUGUAUACAAAUGUUUUAAUGGUCAUGUUUUCAGUUCUCUUGGGUAAAUAUGUGGGAGUGGAAUUGCUGGUUCACGGUAACUCUAUUUUUAAUCUUUUAGAGGAACAGCCAGACUGCUUUCCAAAGCAGUUGCACCAUUUUACAUUCCUAGCAGCAGUGUAUGAGGGUUCCAAUUCCCCACAUCCCAGCCAACACUUAUUAUUGUCCACCCUUUUCCUCACAGCCAGCCUAGUGGGUUGCGGUGGAGUUUUUAUAACAAAAAGUGACAGUUAAAAGACUCUGGGUGGGGCCAGCCCGGUGGCACAGUGGUUAAGUGUGCAUGGUCCGCUUCGGCGGCCCUGGGUUCACCAGUUUGGAUCCCGGGUACAAACGUGGUACCACUUGGCCAGCCAUGCUGUGGUAGGCGUCUCACAUAUAAAAUAGAGGAAGAUGGGCACAGAUGUUAGCUCAGGGCCAGUCUUCCUCAGCAAAAGGAGGAGGAUUGGCUGCAGAUGUUAGCUCAGGGCUAGUCUUCCUCAAAAAAAAAAAAAAGACUGGGGAAGCACAUUCUCUGGUCAGCCACAGGACCCCAUCAACCACCAGCAGCAGGACAGUGGACAAUACUGACAGCACUGCCCUAUCCUCUGCCUGUGGGCUGCUCCCUGACAGUUAAUGGCAGUGGUUCCCAAAAUGUGGUCCUCAGACCAGCAGCACCAGCAGCACCUGGGAGCCAGCCAGAAAUGCUGAGUCUCAGACUCUGUCCGAGACCUCCUGAGUCAGAGGCUCUGGGUUGGGAACCAGCUCUAGUGAUCCCAGUGAGUCUGAUGCCGCCCAAGCCCAGGGGAGGCAGGCUCUGCUGCAGAGCGUCUUUGCCCCUCAGUGCCGGCUGUGCCUACCUGGUUAGUGAUGAAUAAGAUGCACCAGAUCCACCAUCCCUUGCGAGUGACGAUGACAGUGACCAAGGAGAGAGCUUUUUGAAGGAUUCAAUCAUGCAACUCAGGUGGAAGAGUUUGACACUUCCCAGGGAUGAGUGACACUGCCGAUGUAAAAUGUUCGCAAUAACUAAUUUUGGACUCAGAAAACCUAGCUGGAAGGUAAACAGGACUUUGACAAGCACCAUCCAAGGCAGUAACCUAGAUUAGUUUCCCUCACACUUGCUGUUUUAAAUAUUCCUUUUCCAUUCAAAAUUUCAAAGAGCAUGCUGUCAUAGUUCUCCUUCAGCUCUUUAGAAGGAGGAUGGCACAGGAGCUUCACAGAAGAAUGGUUCAAAAUGGUAAAGAUGCCUCACCAAUACCAUGUGCAACAUAGCCCAAUACUCCUGUAACUCCUUACCAUCUAAAAACAUGAGGAAAAGAUGUUGUUUGGAGAAUUACUCUAUGUUUCUUUCAUAUUCUGCCAUUUAAAAACCUUCUCUAUAGGAGCCAGCCCGGUUGCGCAGUGGUUAAGUGUGCACAUUCCCCUUCUGGGCGGCCCGGGGUUCGCUGGUUCAGAUCCCGGGUGCAGACAUGGCACCGCUUGGCAAGCCAUGCUGUGGUAGGCGUCCCACAUAUAAAGUAGAGGAAGAUGGGCAUGGAUGUUAGCUCAGGGCCAGGCUUCCUCAGCAAAAAAGAGGAGGACUGGUAGUAGUUAGCUCAGGGCUAAUCUUCCUCAAAACAAACAAACAAACAAAAAAACAAACAAACAACUUUCUCUAUAUACAUUUCCUACAAGCUUACAAAUGGGGGAAGCCUCUUUGUAGCAACAUCUUUGUUACUUCCUUCAGAUACAGGUUAGACUCCUGCUUCUCUGCAUCUUCCCCUGGGAGAGAUCAGCCUUGGAAAGCGAAGCCAGACUUGAAUCAAGCUGGAUUUGCUCUUGCUUACCUGCUUCCGCCAGGUCCCCAGGAGGGGUAGAACCUCACACGUGUACGUGACACAGGGGAAGACCACACAGCUGAACAUCAAAAUACUCAGAGCAGAAUUGCUGUAACUAUUCCAUUUGUUCCUUCAAUCCCAACCCUCCCUCCCUGGACUGGUUUUAUAGCAUUCCUCUUGUUUGAGAUAUCAUAGUGUCUCUGAGUAAAUUCCAAACCUGAUAGGUGUCCAGGACGUCCUGAGCAGUGAGUCUUUCUGCAGUCUGGCUCUUACAUGCCUUAUGAAUAUAAACAAAUGGAAUCAGACCAUAUCACUGCCUUCAAUGUGCCCCAAAAGGACACUGAAGACAUCUAAAAUCUUUCGGAUGUCGAUCUUCUCGUCAUACGAGGGCAUGAGAUCAUCAUGAAAAGGCGUGUCUUCUCCAUAGGGCCACAGCUGCUCUGGAGCCACAAAAUCGCCAUGAAGCUCCACCAACACCCUGGAGCUGCGGUUCGGUAGGGGCAAGGCGUCCAGGUUUUCCACCACAAUGCUGAAGUUCCUUGUCGGCAGACACUGGGACAGCAUCUUGGACAGGUCGCUGGAGUGGCACAUGACCAGUGUGCCCAGGGGCCUGUGGUGCAGGUAGUUGAUGAUGCUGACACAGUCCAUGGCCAGCUGCAGCCUGUGCUGCCACGUGUUCACAUUUUGGUACUUGGAAAGGUUUAGUGUUUCUUCCAGGUUGCUCAAGGCACCUAAGUGGUGAUAUUCCGUAAGAACAGUGUUGUCUUCCUCACAGCAGCCAAGCAGCGUGACAACAUGCUGACUCUGCAAGGAUUUCAGCAUCUGCAGCCCAUGGAGGAAAUCAUCUUUCAGCUCCAGGCUGGUGAACUGUGAGAGAGCAACUUUGCCUUCCUUCCGCUCGGACAGAAAGACUUGGGCUUCUGCAACAGUCUGCUGCAUGGUCUCCCACUUAUUUCCCUUCUCCAAUCCAUUCUCCACAUAGCAAAUAGGAUCUCUUUUCCUUUUCCCCCUUCAGGUCCCACCGCACAGCAAGGAUGGCGAGGACUGGCCGGGGCCGGGGAAGGGCUGUGCUGGUGGGCCGAGGCCACCACCCACAGGGUGCAGCGAGGGUGCCCCUGUCCUGGCCCCCACCACCCUGCUUCCCCAGGCGCCCCUCUUUGGCCUGCCGCUGCUUUAUGUUUUAAGGAUAUUGUGUUCUGUCUCAUUUACUCUUUUUUUGUCUCUGCAUUAGCCUCUGGUGGAAUAGAUUGUUUUCAGUAUGAGCCUUGUUAAGAAUAUUUGGGGAAUACUUUUAAAUGCCAUCUUUAUUUUCUCUCUUCCAGUUUUGAGUGGUUUGCCUAUGAUCUCAGUGCUCUCAUGGAUCUAAGAAGAGUUGUUCAUUUCAAGUUUUUUUUCUUUUUCCUACCAGGUCAGGAACUGCUUGGAUGUGGAUGUGAGCAGAGAGCAGGAAUAUCGAAAGCUCUACUUCCCUGUGAUUAAUAAUUAAGAUUCCUCAUAAAUAAAUACGCAUGGUUCAUUUUUGCA